Brachypodium distachyon (stiff brome) is the source of this 3339-nucleotide long non-coding RNA. RefSeq lists it as uncharacterized. The record is from RefSeq and is a predicted model, not a curated record. NCBI's taxonomy places the organism in Eukaryota, Viridiplantae, Streptophyta, Magnoliopsida, Poales, Poaceae. The transcript is spliced from 2 exons.
CCCACCCACCCACCCCAACCCGUAUCAGAUAGUUGGUAAUCUCGAGUUGGUAAUUGCUUAGUAAAAUAAUUACUUUUGGUGAAACCCGUCAUCAUACUCCCUCUGGCUACGAAUUUGCAUUCCUUGUUGGGAUGUGUAGUCUGAAACUAUUGUUUGGUAGUACUUGUAGUUCAUAGUAAAACAAUUAUACUCGGAGGAGAUGUGACUCAGACAGUAAUUGCUUGGUUCUGGUCAUUGGAAUACGUCAAGCGCUACAGGUUUGUUUCAAGAGUUUUGAACCUAAGGAUAUCUGACUCAAGACUGAAAUUGUUGAUAUUACUGAUUGUUAUUGUAAUUGUGGAGCCUAUAAGUGUGAUGCCCAUGAGUUUUAAUAAAUACUUUCCAAGGAAUUUAUAACAAAUGCAAUCUUAAAGCUUUGGGUGCUGUUCAAUUUCAGAAAUCGGUUUCCUAUGAAUGAAAUUGUUAGCAGUAUUGCGAUUAUUGGCCAAUAAUGGUUGGUUCUUUGUUUAAGGUUUUUGUAACUUUAUGGUCUCAUGAGUGAAAUCACGGACCAACUCCCUUUUGUGAAAUCAGUAGUGUUACAAAAGUCUUUUCUUCGUUGUUGGUUCUUAUGGAUAACAUUAGUGUUGUAAUGCCCUCAAAAUUACUUACCUUGCCCAAAUUUAUCUCGUCGAUACCUUCCUUCAUUAUUCGCUCAGAUUAAUUGACACCUUUCUUGUUUUCAAUGCAAUGUAUAAUUAUUGCAGAGUAGAUAAUGACAUGAUUUCGGCUAAGCUAUACCAGAUUUAGUUGUCACUAAAUUAUGCUUUCUUCUGUCUCAAAAUGGCAAAAGCUAAAGGGAAGGUACAGUUUAAAUAUCCAACCCGCUAAUGGGGACAAGUAAUAUUCUAUGCUCACUAUUUCGAGUUUCCUUUUCACUGAAAGCUGCAAGUCAAGUUCUUACCAGCUGCAGUGGUAUCGAUGUUAAUUACUUUUAAGUUCUAGGAGCUCACCAAAUGUUGUUUUCCAAGUCCGAGGCUGCAAUUGAUCAAAAAUAUUUGUCAGGUUUAUUUUUUUCAGUGCCAACAUAUAGCAGGAAAAUUAUUAUUCGGUUUUCAAUGGAACCGUUUCUUAGGGUAAGAUUUUUCUCUGUAGCUUUAUGUAGUCCUGUAAAUGUAAUUCUCAUGUAAAGUCUGUUGAGUUAACCGUUUAAGAUAGGUCUAACACAUGUGGCUUUCGUAAGCAUUACUAUCUUAAUCCUUUAGGAUGCAACUUUUGAUGAAUGGCCUUCUUUCAUGGAUUAGUUGAUAGGCAUUACUAUCACUAACACAUGUGGCUUAUGUAUGCAUUACUAUCUUAAAUCUUUAGAACUAUCCUUUACAGUCCAGGCUGAAGCUAGAUUCAAUUCUUUGGCUUAGAAUCAAACUUUCUUUACACCAAAAGCUCAUAACUGCUGUGUGUCAGAUAAAACUUGAUGAGACUUGCUUGUGAAACCUGAUUAUGUACAUCAAGCGUGAACUAUAUUUACACGUUAAGGAACUUUUGUGCAUUUAGCAGAGAGCAGGUCAUGAGCAAGGAAAAGUCCACACUGAACAAGCUCCAGUGGAACUUUACAGUUCUGACGGUGUAUAUGUUCAUCAUUUUUAGAAAAACAGGGACCCUUCCCCAGCUCCAUUUUAUUGAAAAUGAAACCAACCGACAGAGUUCAGUGCCAAAUUUAUAUGUUCAUCAUUCGAUACAUGAACGCUGCAAUGGGUGACAAGGAGCUGGAGAACAUGGCAUUCUUCUAUGAUGUGCUUACGCUGGUUCAGUACUCGACGUGAGUCCAUCGUGGAGUGAUACCAUGAAGCACCGCACGGGCUUAGCUGAGUUACAAUUGUUGUACAUAUUCUUCCUCUUUUUUUGCACAAAUGUACAUAUUCUUCAUGACUUAUUAAUCUUGCUCAGUGAGAGACCUGAUUAUUUGCAUCUGAGCUGAACCACACUCUAAAUUAUGAUGCUCACAUGCUACUUUGAUCAUGUCAUCUACUUUCUGAAAUCUUGUUAUUUACAUUAAACCCGAACCAAUCUUUAUAUUGUGUUUAUCACAUGCUAUGGUGAUCAGAUUAUUGCUUCCUACUUAAUGUGCAGGAUAAUUGAACACGGUAAGGCAUUCAAAGUGAAACCUUUUAUUUUAGUACUUCCGUCUAAAUACCUUAUAUUCUGUCAUAUCAUUUACAUUCCGCUAAAAAUCUUUUUAAGUUUAUGCUUUUACAUAGCAUAGAAAUGAGAAUUUUGUUUCUGAAGUCCACAUAUCAGUGUACAUUAUUUGGCAUAUAUUCUCAUACUGACUUUUCUUAUGUUGAUGUAAAUGUUACCUGUGCAUUCAAAUUUUCUUGCAAGACAAACUGUUUAAACUUCUUGACAAUUCUGGAAAUAUGUAUAUGUCAUCAAAGGGUUUGCAAUCAAGCGAAAUCAAAUAGUGGCAGUAUUUGUGCAAGCACUCACUAACCACCACCAGUUCUGCUAUUUUGGUUAUCAUUAACUUUGUAUGCGGGAAAAUUUGAUUUUUCGAUUUCACUGAUUUCGUUCAUUAUUGUAUUAAAUUUAGCUUUUCCACUCGAAUAAAAUUGAAGAAUAUAGCCACUUCAAUGUUUCUCCAUAACAGUUUAUCUGGCAUCUCGAGUCUAUGGUAAAAAUACAUGUCACUCUUUGCGAGAGUUCUCUGUUCUGGAAUACUUCCAUACAAUUACCUUUUACUUGUUCUGGAAUACUUCCAUGCGAUUACCUUUUACUUAUCUUCUUUAGCCUCAAGUAGGGUGCUAGCACGUCGUUACAGAAAGUGUCAAAGAACCACAUGGUUGCUAGAAUGCAUUUUUUCUUUUGCCUAAACCGUUUGCUAGGGGUAUUUGUUUGUUAAUUUAGACUGUCAUGAUUUUUUUUUAUUCCCUGGUUUGUAGCUAACAUAAUCUCAGCAAUAGGACAAUUCGGGAGCACCUUUGUGAUAACAUAACCGUUUCAUUGUGUGCCACCAGGACAGAGGAGGGCGACUAAAAAUCGCCAAUGGCAUGGAGCUGCUUGCAGGAGCUGCUUGUUGUGCUCUGAUGGCUGAACAGAGUUCGGUUCUGUUUUUUUCCUUCACCAUGUCUGGAAUAGAGACACAAGGCGUUGAUGGGUUGUGCACCGAGCCUUUGUAUUGAUUAUUGAAGCAUCUGUUGACGAACUGGGAGUCUGUUCUCAAACCAAUAUGAGCUUUUUUUUGACCGGAAAAUCAAUAUGACCUUGUGCUGGGAGUCUAUUCAUUUUAUAUUUUAUAUCUCUUUGAACUAUUUGACCGGAAAAUCAAUAUGAACUUUCUGUGGCGAAAGAUACGUACUGAAA